UACGUAGGCGGUUAAAUAAGUCAGGUGUAAAAGGCAUUGGCUCAACCAAUGUAAGCACUUGAAACUGUUUGACUUGAGUAUAGGAGAGGUAAGUGGAAUUCCUAGUGUAGCGGUGAAAUGCGUAGAUAUUAGGAGGAACACCAGUGGCGAAGGCGACUUACUGGACUAUUACUGACGCUGAGGUACGAAAGCGUGGGGAGCAAACA
RNAcentral lists this ribosomal RNA (206 nucleotides) under uncultured bacterium. Its description in RNAcentral is "partial 16S ribosomal RNA". It matches the Rfam family "Bacterial small subunit ribosomal RNA", at positions 568 to 774 of the family's 1533-position model. The record is from RNAcentral.